CCUACGGGAGGCAGCAGUGAGGAAUAUUGGUCAAUGGGCGCAAGCCUGAACCAGCGAAGUAGCGUGAAGGAUGACUGCCCUCCGGGUUGUAAACUUCUUUUAUAAGGGAAUAAAUGGAGGCACGUGAGCCUUUUUGUAUGUAUUUUAUCAAUAAAGAUCGGCUAACACUGCGCCCGCAGCAGCGGUAAUACGGAGGAUCCGAGCGUUAUCCGGAUUUAUUGGGUGUAAAGGGAGCGUAGAUGGGUGGUUAAGUCAGUUGUGAAAGUUUGCGGCUCAACCGUAAAAUUGCAAUUGAUACUGGAAGCCUUGAGUACAGUUGAGGUAGGCGGAAUUCGUGGUGUAGCGGUGAAAUGCUUAGAUAUCACGAAGAACUCCGAUGGCGAAGGCAGCCUACUAGACUGCAACUGACGUUGAGGCUCGAAAGUGUGGGUAUCAAACAGGAUUAGAUACCCUAGUAGUC
This 460-nucleotide ribosomal RNA is filed under the name uncultured bacterium. RNAcentral describes it as "partial 16S ribosomal RNA". It matches the Rfam family "Bacterial small subunit ribosomal RNA", at positions 338 to 795 of the family's 1533-position model. The record is from RNAcentral.